RNAcentral lists this ribosomal RNA (230 nucleotides) under Aspergillus terreus. RNAcentral describes it as "partial 18S ribosomal RNA". The record is from RNAcentral. Lineage: Eukaryota; Fungi; Ascomycota; Eurotiomycetes; Eurotiales; Aspergillaceae.
AAGUUGUGAGUUAAAGCUCGUUCUGAACCUUGGGUCUGGCUGGCCGGUCCGCCUCACCGCGAGUACUGGUCCGGCUGGACCUUUCCUUCUGGGGAAUCCCAUGGCCUUCACUGGCUGUUGGGGGGAACCAGGACUUUUACUGUGAAAAAAAUUAGAAGUGUAUCCAAAGCUAGGCUCUUUUGCUUUCUAAUAUAUAAUAUUAGCUCAUGGGAAUUANAUAAUAUACUAUU